UAACACGUGGGCAACCUGCCUAUGAGACUGGGAUAACUCCGGGAAACCGGGGCUAAUACCGGAUAAUUCUUUUCUACACAUGUAGAAAAGCUGAAAGAUGGUUUCGGCUAUCACUCAUAGAUGGACCCGCGGCGCAUUAGCUAGUUGGUGAGGUAACGGCUCACCAAGGCGACGAUGCGUAGCCGACCUGAGAGGGUGAUCGGCCACACUGGGACUGAGACACGGCCCAG
This 230-nucleotide ribosomal RNA is filed under the name uncultured Bacillus sp. RNAcentral describes it as "partial 16S ribosomal RNA". It matches the Rfam family "Bacterial small subunit ribosomal RNA", at positions 111 to 334 of the family's 1533-position model. Lineage: Bacteria; Bacillati; Bacillota; Bacilli; Caryophanales; Bacillaceae. The record is from RNAcentral.